GACGAACGCUGGCGGCGUGCUUAACACAUGCAAGUCGAACGAAGUGGGAACGGGUGAGUAAUACGUGGGUAACCUCCCUCCUUUUUGGGAUAAGCCUUGGAAACGGGGUCUAAACCGAAUAGAUGGGCUCGCGGCCUAUCAUCUUGUUGGUGGGGUGAUGGCCUACCAAGGCGUUGACGGGUAGGCGGUGUGAGAGGAUGAGCGGCAACAUUGGGACUGGGACACGGCCCAGACUCCGACGGGAGGCAGCAGUGGGGAAUCUUCCGAAAUGGACGAAAGUCUGACGGAGCAACGCCGCGUGAGUGAUGACGGCCUUCGGGUUGAAAAGCUCUGUUAGUCGGGGCGCGGUACCGGAAUAGAAGGCCACGGCUAACUGCGUGCCAGCAGCCGCGGUAAUAC
This 399-nucleotide ribosomal RNA is filed under the name uncultured bacterium. RNAcentral describes it as "partial 16S ribosomal RNA". It matches the Rfam family "Bacterial small subunit ribosomal RNA", at positions 28 to 526 of the family's 1533-position model. The record is from RNAcentral.